RNAcentral lists this small nucleolar RNA (71 nucleotides) under Vicugna pacos (alpaca). Its description in RNAcentral is "Small nucleolar RNA SNORD112 (ENSVPAG00000017458.1)". The record is from RNAcentral. Lineage: Eukaryota; Metazoa; Chordata; Mammalia; Artiodactyla; Camelidae.
UGGACAGGGGCUGAGGAGGCUCGGGAACCACAGAUUGUGGUUAAUCCAGUUCUGUGCACCUGAGGUCCAUA